CUGCUGGCAUGCAGGAAGAAGACUGUA
Molecule: non-coding RNA, 27 nt
Filed under: Cricetulus griseus (Chinese hamster)
Lineage: Eukaryota; Metazoa; Chordata; Mammalia; Rodentia; Cricetidae
Source: RNAcentral